UUUGUACACACCGCCCGUCGCUACUACCGAUUGAAUGGCUCAGUGAGGCCUUCGGACUGGCUCAGGGAGGUCGGCAACGACCACCCAGAGCCGGAAAGUUGGUCAAACUCGGUCAUUUAGAGGAAGUAAAAGUCGUAACAAGGUCUCCGUAGGUGAACCUGCGGAGGGAUCAUUA
RNAcentral lists this ribosomal RNA (175 nucleotides) under Ramularia endophylla. RNAcentral's name for it is "partial 18S ribosomal RNA". It matches the Rfam family "Eukaryotic small subunit ribosomal RNA", at positions 1659 to 1831 of the family's 1831-position model. The record is from RNAcentral. RNAcentral also lists the same sequence under 48 other names. Lineage: Eukaryota; Fungi; Ascomycota; Dothideomycetes; Mycosphaerellales; Mycosphaerellaceae.